RNAcentral lists this ribosomal RNA (274 nucleotides) under uncultured bacterium. RNAcentral describes it as "partial 16S ribosomal RNA". It matches the Rfam family "Bacterial small subunit ribosomal RNA", at positions 523 to 796 of the family's 1533-position model. The record is from RNAcentral.
AUACGAAAGGUGCGAGCGUUGUUCGGAUUUACGGGGCGUAAAGCGAGUGUAGGUGGUUUGUUAAGUCGGAUGUGAAAUCCCGGGGCUCAACCUCGGAACUGCAUUCGAUACUGGCAGGCUAGAGUUCGGGAGGGGUAAGCGGAAUUCCGUGUGUAGCAGUGAAAUGCGUAGAUAUACGGAGGAACACCUGAGGCGAAGGCGGCUUACUGGACCGAUACUGACACUGAGACUCGAAAGCGUGGGUAGCAAACAGGAUUAGAUACCCGAGUAGUCC